Nerophis lumbriciformis (worm pipefish) is the source of this 334-nucleotide long non-coding RNA. RefSeq lists it as uncharacterized. NCBI's taxonomy places the organism in Eukaryota, Metazoa, Chordata, Actinopteri, Syngnathiformes, Syngnathidae. The record is from RefSeq and is a predicted model, not a curated record.
AUCGGACAUCUCUAGUAAAAACAUGGCAAAAUUGAGUUGAGUUUGAGUUUAUUUCCAACGAAGAGGAGGAAUUAAGAGGAAGCGACGGCGAAGAAGGGCAAAGGGAAGUGUAAAAAGGAAAUGGACAGUGAGAUGAGUGACCAGGAAGUGAAGAAGAAGAAAACAGGGAAAGGGAAAAGAACCAAGCAAACGCUAGUGAGACCAGUGAGCAUUGAGCAGGAAGAGAACCAACAAGAAGGGGCAGGAGUACACUGACGCGCACGACCAAGACCACAGCAUUCCAUUUCUAUUCCAUCCAUCUUCUUCUGCUUAUCCGAGGUCGGGUCGCGGGGGC